GGAGAGAUGGCCGAGUGGUCUAAGGCGCGCGCCUGGAAAGCGCGUAUCCUACGUGAAGUGGGAUCGAGGGUUCGAAUCCCUCUUUCUCCG
Molecule: transfer RNA, 90 nt
Filed under: Bacteroidota bacterium
Lineage: Bacteria; Pseudomonadati; Bacteroidota
Description: tRNA-Ser
Rfam family: tRNA
About the family: Transfer RNA (tRNA) molecules are approximately 80 nucleotides in length.
Source: RNAcentral